GCAAUUUUGAAGCACAAAGCAUCCUGUCUCUCAUUUUAGCACUUACUCCCGGAGCUAAGUCUUGUGAAGAGAAAUGCAGAAACCUUCAUGAACUGAAAUUGGGCAUAAAUUGAAUUAUACCAGAAAAUAAAAGAGGACGGCUAUACUUCUGACUUUUUACUCUGCCUUUGACUGGAGUUUGUGGGGCUGUGGUUGGAGGUUUUGGCUGCUGUGGAACUGCUACAUUGGCUUAGUGAACCUAUCUGUACCUGUUGGCGAUUUGAACCUCUGCCCACACAGCCCUGUGACCAGAGACUUUCAACAGGCGCUUACAAGAUGGCUGAUAGGCCACAAGAAGCCAUGGGUAGCAUCAAAGAGAUUGAAUGGAGAGUCUUGUUUUAAAUACAUAUAUUUUUGUGAGGAAUGUAACAUCUUUCAUCUGCUAGAAGCUAAAGCCAGUGAUGAGGUUUCUUGCUGUGCUUUUGUGUAUCAUACAAUGGCAAAGGUGAAAACUGAAUAUGGACUUGUACUGUAUUUGCUUGGCUGACGACAACAAAAAAGGAGAGAAAUGAAAUCAAGACAUGGUCAUUCCCAGUUUUUCUAACAGUUUAUAAAGAAUGCCUUUGAUUAAAAAUAUUCCCUGGCCACCUUUAUGUAACCUAUUCAGAGAUGUAAACUACUCUUAACAUUAGAGAGCUGUUUCAGAAUUUUAUACCUCUGGUAGCUUCUCAUUUAAUUUUGCCUUGAUGUUUCAAUUGAUUUUUCCUUCCCUGUUAUUUACAUUUUCUAGCUCUUUCAUGCUUCAUAAUGUUUGCCAUUAUCUCACUUCUUUAUACAGAAACAUAUUUAUUAUCAAAACAUCAGUCUUAAUUUUACUUAACUCUAUAAAACAUACUACUUUGAUAUCAUUUGUGAAGUCAUAAUUCAGCACUAUGCUCACUGCAGUUGCUAUUCUGUAUAUGUAUUCUAACUUGAAACAGUAUUUUUGAGCACUGGAGAUUCAAGUAAUAUUUCUGACAUUCAGAUUUGAUAUCUGGACAAUAUCUCACCCUUAUACAAGGGUAUUGAUCUCCCUUACCUCUUCUAGAAAUACCUUUUCAAAUAAAUUGUGUCCUUUUCCAAAGCA
Long non-coding RNA from Phasianus colchicus (ring-necked pheasant), 1105 nucleotides. NCBI's taxonomy places the organism in Eukaryota, Metazoa, Chordata, Aves, Galliformes, Phasianidae. The record is from Ensembl.